AUUGAACGCUGGCGGCAUGCCUUACACAUGCAAGUCGAACGGUAACAGGUCUUCGGAUGCUGACGAGUGGCGAACGGGUGAGUAAUACAUCGGAACGUGCCCGAUCGUGGGGGAUAACGAGGCGAAAGCUUUGCUAAUACCGCAUACGAUCUACGGAUGAAAGCGGAGGAUCUUCGGACCUCGCGCGGACGGAGCGGCCGAUGGCAGAUUAGGUAGUUGGUGGGAUAAAAGCUUACCAAGCCGACGAUCUGUAGCUGGUCUGAGAGGAUGAUCAGCCACACUGGGACUGAGACACGGCCCAGACUCCUACGGGAGGCAGCAGUGGGGAAUUUUGGACAAUGGGCGAAAGCCUGAUCCAGCCAUGCCGCGUGCAGGAUGAAGGCCUUUGGGUUGUAAACUGCUUUUGUACGGAACGAAAAGCCUCUUUCUAAUAAAGAGGGGUCAUGACGGUACCGUAAGAAUAAGCACCGGCUAACUACGUG
This 482-nucleotide ribosomal RNA is filed under the name uncultured bacterium. Its description in RNAcentral is "partial 16S ribosomal RNA". It matches the Rfam family "Bacterial small subunit ribosomal RNA", at positions 30 to 507 of the family's 1533-position model. The record is from RNAcentral.